RNAcentral lists this ribosomal RNA (187 nucleotides) under uncultured archaeon. RNAcentral's name for it is "partial 16S ribosomal RNA". It matches the Rfam family "Archaeal small subunit ribosomal RNA", at positions 556 to 745 of the family's 1478-position model. The record is from RNAcentral.
GGCUCAACCCGAGGACGGGGAGGAUACUGCCGGGCUAGGGGGCGGGAGAGGCCGGCGGUACUCCCGGGGUAGGGGCGAAAUCCGUUGAUCCCGGGAGGACCACCAGUGGCGAAGGCGGCCGGCUGGAACGCGCCCGACGGUGAGGGACGAAAGCCGGGGGAGCGAACCGGAUUAGAUACCCGGAAUC